AACGAACGCUGGCGGCAUGCCUAACACAUGCAAGUCGAACGAUCCCUUCGGGGCUAGUGGCGCACGGGUGCGUAACGCGUGGGAACCUGCCCUUAGGUUCGGAAUAACUCAGAGAAAUUUGAGCUAAUACCGGAUAAUGUCUUCGGACCAAAGAUUUAUCGCCUUUGGAUGGGCCCGCGUUGGAUUAGCUAGUUGGUGGGGUAAAGGCCUACCAAGGCGACGAUCCAUAGCUGGUCUGAGAGGAUGAUCAGCCACACUGGGACUGAGACACGGCCCAGACUCCUACGGGAGGCAGCAGUGGGGAAUAUUGGACAAUGGGCGAAAGCCUGAUCCAGCAAUGCCGCGUGAGUGAUGAAGGCCUUAGGGUUGUAAAGCUCUUUUACCCGGGAUGAUAAUGACAGUACCGGGAGAAUAAGCCCCGGCCAACUCCGUG
This 433-nucleotide ribosomal RNA is filed under the name uncultured bacterium. RNAcentral's name for it is "partial 16S ribosomal RNA". It matches the Rfam family "Bacterial small subunit ribosomal RNA", at positions 29 to 507 of the family's 1533-position model. The record is from RNAcentral.